GGGUUUUAGCUAUCACUUACAGAUGGGCCCGCGGCGCAUUAGCUAGUUGGUGAGGUAACGGCUCACCAAGGCGACGAUGCGUAGCCGACCUGAGAGGGUGAUCGGCCACACUGGGACUGAGACACGGCCCAGACUCCUACGGGAGGCAGCAGUAGGGAAUCUUCCGCAAUGGACGAAAGUCUGACGGAGCAACGCCGCGUGAGCGAUGAAGGCCUUCGGGUCGUAAAGCUCUGUUGUUAGGGAAGAAUAAGUGCUAGUUAAAUAAGCUGGCACCUUGACGGUACCUAACCAGAAAGCCACGGCUAACUACGUGCCAGCAGCCGCGGUAAUACGUAGGUGGCAAGCGUUGUCCGGAAUUAUUGGGCGUAAAGCGCGCGCAGGCGGUUUCUUAAGUCUGAUGUGAAAGCCCCCGGCUCAACCGGGGAGGGUCAUUGGAAACUGGGAAACUUGAGUGCAGAAGAGGAAAGUGGAAUUCCAAGUGUAGCGGUGAAAUGCGUAGAGAUUUGGAGGAACACCAGUGGCGAAGGCGACUUUCUGGUCUGUAACUGACGCU
Molecule: ribosomal RNA, 553 nt
Filed under: Bacillus sp. SMCC G978
Lineage: Bacteria; Bacillati; Bacillota; Bacilli; Caryophanales; Bacillaceae
Description: bacterial SSU rRNA
Rfam family: Bacterial small subunit ribosomal RNA
Source: RNAcentral